Molecule: ribosomal RNA, 1524 nt
Filed under: Patescibacteria group bacterium
Lineage: Bacteria
Description: bacterial SSU rRNA
Rfam family: Bacterial small subunit ribosomal RNA
Source: RNAcentral
UUAAUUGAGAGUUUGAUCCUGGCUCAGGAUGAACGCUGGCGGCGUGUCUUAGGCAUGCAAGUCGAACGCCCCCACACCAUUACUGUAAAAAUUUCACAGUAAUGGUGUGGGGGAGUGGCAAACGGGUGCGUAACACAUUGGUAACCUACCUUUAUCUCGGCCAUAACUCGGAGAAAUCUGGGCUAAUAGCCGAUGUGUCCAUUUUAUCCCAGAUAAAAUGGGUAAAGAUUUUUCGGAUAAAGAGGGGCCUAUGGUUUAUCAGCUUGUUGGUGAGGUAAAAGCUCACCAAGGCGAUGACGAAUAGCGGGUGUGAGAGCAUGACCCGCCUCACUGGGACUGAGACACUGCCCAGACUCCUACGGGAGGCUGCAGUCGAGAAUCUUCCUCAAUGGCCGAAAGGCUGAAGGAGCGACGCCGCGUGUAGGAAGACGCCCCUUGGGGUGUAAACUACUUUUCUAAAGGAAAAAUUUUUGAUGGUACUUUAGGAAUAAGCCACUGCUAACUUCGUGCCAGCAGCAGCGGUAAUACGAAGGUGGCAAGCGUUAUCCGGAUUUAUUGGGCGUAAAGAGUUCAACGGUGGCUAUGAUAGUCGAAAAUAAAAUCUUAAGGCUCAACCUUAAGCCCGUUUUCGAUACUUUAUAGCUAGAGGGUAGGAGAGGCAAACGGAAUUGCUGGUGUAGUAGUAAAAUGCGUUAAUAUCAGCAAGAACACCAAAGGCGAAGGCAGUUUGCUAGAAUACUCCUGACACUAUACGAACGAAAGCGUGGGUCGCGAAUGGGAUUAGAUACCCCAGUAGUCCACGCCGUAAACGAUGGAUACUAGGUAUUGGAAGUCUCGACCCUUUCAGUAUCGUUUACCUAAGCUAACGCGUUAAGUAUCCCGCCUGGGGAGUACGGCCGCAAGGCUAAAACUCAAAGGAAUUGACGGGAACCCGCACAAGUGGUGGAGCAUGUGGUUUAAUUCGACAAUAAGCGAGAAACCUUACCAGGGCUUGACAUCCUAGGAAAUUCACCGAAAGGAGAAUGUGCCUGCAAAGGAGCCUAGUGACAGGUGCUGCAUGGUCGUCGUCAGCUCGUGUCGUGAGAUGUACGGUUAAGUCCGGAAACGAGCGCAACCCCUGUGAUAUGUUAAAUUGUUCAUGUCAGACUGCCCCCUUUAAGGGGGAGGAAGGAAGGGAUGACGUCAGAUCAGCAUGGUCCUCUGACGCCCUGGGCGACACACGUGCUACAAUGGCUAGUAACAAUGGGUCUUGCGAAACGGUAACGUGGAGCUAAUCCCAUCAAACCUAGUCUCAGUUCGGAUUGAGGUCUGAAACUCGACCUCAUGAAGCUGGAAUCACUAGUAAACGCGCAUCAGCCACGGCGCGUUGAAUACGUUCUCGGGUUUUGUACACACCGCCCGUCACGUCAAGAGAGUCGGUAAUACCCGAAGUCCCAGUUUACUGGGCCGAAGGUAGGAUCGAUAAUAGGGACGAAGUCGUAACAAGGCAUCCGUAGCGGAAGCUGUGGAUGGAUCACCUCCUUU